This 771-nucleotide ribosomal RNA is filed under the name uncultured Vagococcus sp. Its description in RNAcentral is "bacterial SSU rRNA". It matches the Rfam family "Bacterial small subunit ribosomal RNA", at positions 28 to 776 of the family's 1533-position model. Lineage: Bacteria; Bacillati; Bacillota; Bacilli; Lactobacillales; Enterococcaceae. The record is from RNAcentral.
GACGAACGCUGGCGGCGUGCCUAAUACAUGCAAGUCGAACGCACGAAGUUGAAGAGCUUGCUCUUUAACCAAGUGAGUGGCGGACGGGUGAGUAACACGUGGGUAACCUGCGCAUUAGAGGGGGAUAACAUUCGGAAACGGAUGCUAAUACCGCAUAGUUUCAGGGAUCGCAUGAUUCUUGAAGGAAAGGUGGCUUCGGCUACCACUAAUGGAUGGACCCGCGGCGUAUUAGCUAGUUGGUGAGGUAAUGGCUCACCAAGGCAAUGAUACGUAGCCGACCUGAGAGGGUGAUCGGCCACACUGGGACUGAGACACGGCCCAGACUCCUACGGGAGGCAGCAGUAGGGAAUCUUCCGCAAUGGACGAAAGUCUGACGGAGCAACGCCGCGUGAGUGAAGAAGGUUUUCGGAUCGUAAAACUCUGUUGUUAAAGAAGAACAAGGAUGAGAGUAACUGCUCAUCCCCUGACGGUAUUUAACCAGAAAGCCACGGCUAACUACGUGCCAGCAGCCGCGGUAAUACGUAGGUGGCAAGCGUUGUCCGGAUUUAUUGGGCGUAAAGCGAGCGCAGGCGGUUCUUUAAGUCUGAUGUGAAAGCCCCCGGCUCAACCGGGGAGGGUCAUUGGAAACUGGAGAACUUGAGUGCAGAAGAGGAGAGUGGAAUUCCACGUGUAGCGGUGAAAUGCGUAGAUAUGUGGAGGAACACCAGUGGCGAAGGCGACUCUCUGGUCUGUAACUGACGCUGAGGCUCGAAAGCGUGGGGAGCAAACAGG